CCUACGGGUGGCAGCAGUAGGGAAUCUUCCACAAUGGGCGAAAGCCUGAUGGAGCAACGCCGCGUGGGUGAAGAAGGUCUUCGGAUCGUAAAACCCUUUUUUUAGAGAAGAAAGUGCGUGAGAGUAACUGUUCACGUUUCGACGGUAUCUAACCAGCAAGCCACGGCUAACUCCGUGCCAGCAGCCGCGGUAAUACGUAGGUGGCAAGCGUUAUCCGGGUUUAUUGGGCGUAAAGGUAACGCAGGCGGUCUUUUAAGUCUGAUGUGAAAGCCUUCGGCUUAACCGGAGUAGUGCAUUGGAAACUGGGAGACUUGAGUGCAGAAGAGGUAGGUGGAAUUCCAGGUGUAGCGGUGAAAUGCGUAGAUAUAUGGAAGAACACCAGUGGCGAAGGCGGCUUACUGGACUGUAACUGACGCUGAGGUUCGAAAGCGUGGGUAGCAAACAGGAUUAGAUACCCGUGUAGUC
RNAcentral lists this ribosomal RNA (465 nucleotides) under uncultured bacterium. RNAcentral's name for it is "partial 16S ribosomal RNA". It matches the Rfam family "Bacterial small subunit ribosomal RNA", at positions 338 to 795 of the family's 1533-position model. The record is from RNAcentral.